GAAGCUACGUGGGAUUUGGGCUCUGUGGGGUUUGGGCUCUGUGGGAUUUGGGCUCUGUAGGAUUUCUUAGGAGGUUCUGUGGGGUUUGGACUCUGUGGGAUUUGGGCUCUGUGGGAUCUCUCAGGAGGCUCUGUGGGAUUUGGGCUCUGUGGGUUUUGGACUCUGGGAUUUGGGCUCUAUGGGAUUUGGGCUCUGUAGGAUUUCUUAGGAGGUUCUGUGGGGUUUGGGCUCUGAGGGGUUUGGGCUUUCUGGCAUCUCUCAGGAGGCUCUGUGGGGUUUGGGCUCUGUGGGAUUUGGGCUCUAUGGGAUUUGGGCUCUGUAGGAUUUCUUAGGAGGUUCUGUGGGGUUUGGGCGGGGGGGGGGGGGGGGGGGGGGGGGGGGGGGGGGGGGGGGGGGGGGGGGGGGGGGGGGGGGGGGGGGGGGGGGGGGGGGGGGGGGGGGGGGGGGGGGGGGGGGGGGGGGGGGGGGGGGGGGGGGGGGGGGGGGGGGGGGGGGGGGGGGGGGGGGGGGGGGGGGGGGGGGGGGGGGGGGGGGGGGGGGGGGGGGGGGG
This 550-nucleotide long non-coding RNA is filed under the name Ficedula albicollis (Collared flycatcher). RNAcentral's name for it is "lncRNA (ENSFALG00000027547.1)". The record is from RNAcentral. Lineage: Eukaryota; Metazoa; Chordata; Aves; Passeriformes; Muscicapidae.